GCCCCAUUCGUCUAACGGCAAGACACCGGCCUCCAAAACCGGCGAUGGGAGUUCGACUCUCUCAUGGGGUGCCA
RNAcentral lists this transfer RNA (74 nucleotides) under Gammaproteobacteria bacterium AqS3. Its description in RNAcentral is "tRNA-Trp". It matches the Rfam family "tRNA". From Rfam's summary of the family: Transfer RNA (tRNA) molecules are approximately 80 nucleotides in length. Their secondary structure includes four short double-helical elements and three loops (D, anti-codon, and T loops). The record is from RNAcentral. Lineage: Bacteria; Pseudomonadati; Pseudomonadota; Gammaproteobacteria.